RNAcentral lists this long non-coding RNA (1021 nucleotides) under Numida meleagris (helmeted guineafowl). Its description in RNAcentral is "lncRNA (ENSNMEG00000007635.1)". The record is from RNAcentral. Lineage: Eukaryota; Metazoa; Chordata; Aves; Galliformes; Numididae.
GCACUUUGCUCAAAUUCUGGGUACAAAAUGAAAAAUAUUAUGUUUGUUUCAUGACAGCUGCUCUUGUGGUUAGCGCCAUAAGAAGGAGAGAGACUGAAGAUGAACUACAAAGCAUACCUGAAAAGAAAGGAGGGGGAGAGAGAGAGAGAGAGAGAGAGUCAUAUGCUGAAAAUUACAUCAAUGAAAUGUUUUUUCUUCUUGGCAAUGUAAGUCUCCAUUCUUUACAUCAUUUGGAAGACAGUAUACUAGACAGAAGAAAUUUGUAACUUAAAGUAAAGAAGUCUGUCUUCAUCUGUCAUCAGGAGGAGCAGCGUUCAGUUUCCCACUGAUUUAUUUUUGGCCUUCAACCUCGAUUCAGAUGCACUCUCCUCAUGAAGAUAUAGAUGUGGAAAGGACUUACAGAGGUUAUCUAAUCCAAGGUGGGAUGCACAAAACUUACGUCACUUCUGACAUUCAUAGAAAACAAGUGUGAUUCCAUAUCCUCCUUGCAAAAGCCACUUAAAUGUUUGCUUUGCAGCUGAGAAGUGUCUUCCCAAGGACUAUAUUAGAUCUGUACUGUUGCAGACACUCUAAAUUGUAUCUACGCUGGAUAACGAGCAAAUUAUUUCCUCUUUGUUUUCAACAGUCUUUCAUAUUUUAAGAUUAUUAUCGUAUGUCACUUCAGUCUUUUCUUUAUUCUGAGCACCUCUGUUUUCUUCAGUAUUUCCUGGCAGAUUGUACCUUGCAGUAGUCCUUGCUGCUCAAUUCUGAACUGCCUAUCCAUCACCAAUGUCAUAGGCCAGGUAUAUUAAUCCAACAAGUCCUAGCCAACAAUGGGUAGGGUGGAGAAACUUCAUGCUUUGCAGUCUGUGCUCCUGUUUGUAAUUCUUUGUAUAGAAUUUGUCUUUUUUUACAAUAGCUGAAUUUCAUUCUGCCUAUGAUCCAAGAACCUAGAUCUUUCCUUAAAAAUCCUACUUUACCAGUUGUUCUUGCAUAUGUUUCAUUUCUCAGGUUGUUCACUUUAUCUUUUUAGCUAAGUUCA